Molecule: ribosomal RNA, 465 nt
Filed under: Vreelandella stevensii
Lineage: Bacteria; Pseudomonadati; Pseudomonadota; Gammaproteobacteria; Oceanospirillales; Halomonadaceae
Description: partial 16S ribosomal RNA
Rfam family: Bacterial small subunit ribosomal RNA
Source: RNAcentral
CCUACGGGGGGCUGCAGUGGGGAAUAUUGGACAAUGGGCGAAAGCCUGGUCCAGCCAUGCCGCGUGUGUGAAGAAGGCCUUCGGGUUGUAAAGCACUUUCAGUGGGGAAGAAAGCCUUGGGACUAAUACCCUCGAGGAAGGACAUCACCCACAGAAGAAGCACCGGCUAACUCCGUGCCAGCAGCCGCGGUAAUACGGAGGGUGCGAGCGUUAAUCGGAAUUACUGGGCGUAAAGCGCGCGUAGGCGGUCUGAUAAGCCGGUUGUGAAAGCCCCGGGCUCAACCUGGGAACGGCAUCCGGAACUGUCAGGCUAGAGUGCAGGAGAGGAAGGUAGAAUUCCCGGUGUAGCGGUGAAAUGCGUAGAGAUCGGGAGGAAUACCAGUGGCGAAGGCGGCCUUCUGGUCUGACACUGACGCUGAGGUGCGAAAGCGUGGGUAGCAAACAGGAUUAGAUACCCGUGUAGUC